This 213-nucleotide long non-coding RNA is filed under the name Homo sapiens (human). Its description in RNAcentral is "HSALNT0226241". The record is from RNAcentral. Lineage: Eukaryota; Metazoa; Chordata; Mammalia; Primates; Hominidae.
GGGCACUGCCCACGACAGUGACAGACCAGAUAAACCUUGGUUUGUUUUUUUAAUUUUUAUUUUUAUUCUGAGAUGGAGUCUCGCUCUGUAGCCCAGGCUGGAGUGCAGUGGUGUGAUCUCAGCUCACUACAAGCUUCACCUUCCGGGUUCAGGCCAUUCUCCUGCCUCAGCCUCCCGAGCAGCUGGGACUACAGGCGCCCUCCACCACACCCG